UGGACAGGGGGGUCCCCGCUACCCGGUGGGGCCUGUCCGGCAGGUUGCGCGAAGUGCCUGAAGGCGCAGCCAGUGGUUGUCGCUCGGGGGUGAUCGCCG
This 99-nucleotide small RNA is filed under the name Streptomyces tsukubensis. RNAcentral's name for it is "Streptomyces tsukubaensis che1 RNA". It matches the Rfam family "che1 RNA". Lineage: Bacteria; Bacillati; Actinomycetota; Actinomycetes; Kitasatosporales; Streptomycetaceae. The record is from Rfam by way of RNAcentral.